Molecule: ribosomal RNA, 337 nt
Filed under: uncultured bacterium
Lineage: Bacteria
Description: partial 16S ribosomal RNA
Rfam family: Bacterial small subunit ribosomal RNA
Source: RNAcentral
UGGGGAAUAUUGCACAAUGGGCGCAAGCCUGAUGCAGCCAUGCCGCGUGUGUGAAGAAGGCCUUCGGGUUGUAAAGCACUUUCAGCGAGGAGGAAGGCAUAAAGGUUAAUAACCUUUGUGAUUGACGUUACUCGCAGAAGAAGCACCGGCUAACUCCGUGCCAGCAGCCGCGGUAAUACGGAGGGUGCAAGCGUUAAUCGGAAUUACUGGGCGUAAAGCGCACGCAGGCGGUUUGUUAAGUCAGAUGUGAAAUCCCCGCGCUUAACGUGGGAACUGCAUUUGAAACCGGCAAGCUAGAGUCUUGUAGAGGGGGGUAGAAUUCCAGGUGUAGCGGUGA